ACCUGAAACCGUGUACGUACAAGCAGUGGGAGCACCCUUUGGGGUGUGACUGCGUACCUUUUGUAUAAUGGGUCAGCGACUUAUAUUCUGUAGCAAGGUUAACCGAAUAGGGGAGCCGGAGGGAAACCGAGUCUUAAUUGGGCGUUAAGUUGCAGGGUAUAGACCCGAAACCCGGUGAUCUAGCCAUGGGCAGGUUGAAGGUUGGGUAACACUAACUGGAGGACCGAACCGACUAAUGUUGAAAAAUUAGCGGAUGACCUGUGGCUGGGGGUGAAAGGCCAAUCAAACCGGGAGAUAGCUGGUUCUCCCCGAAAGCUAUUUAGGUAGCGCCUCGUGAAUUCAUCUCCGGGGGUAGAGCACUGUUUCGGCUAGGGGGCCAUCCCGGCUUACCAACCCGAUGCAAACUGCGAAUACCGGAGAAUGUUAUCACGGGAGACACACGGCGGGUGCUAACGUCCGUCGUGAAGAGGGAAACAACCCAGACCGCCAGCUAAGGUCCCAAAGUCAUGGUUAAGUGGGAAACGAUGUGGGAAGGCCCAGACAGCCAGGAUGUUGGCUUAGAAGCAGCCAUCAUUUAAAGAAAGCGUAAUAGCUCACUGGUCGAGUCGGCCUGCGCGGAAGAUGUAACGGGGCUAAACCAUGCACCGAAGCUGCGGCAGCGACGCUGAUGCGUUGUUGGGUAGGGGAGCGUUCUGUAAGCCUGCGAAGGUGGCCUGUGAGGGUUGCUGGAGGUAUCAGAAGUGCGAAUGCUGACAUAAGUAACGAUAAAGCGGGUGAAAAGCCCGCUCGCCGGAAGACCAAGGGUUCCUGUCCAACGUUAAUCGGGGCAGGGUGAGUCGACCCCUAAGGCGAGGCCGAAAGGCGUAGUCGAUGGGAAACGGGUUAAUAUUCCCGUACUUGGUGUUACUGCGAAGGGGGGACGGAGAAGGCUAUGUUGGCCGGGCGACGGUUGUCCCGGUUUAAGCGUGUAGGUGUGUGUUCCAGGUAAAUCCGGUUCACUUUAACACUGAGGCGUGAUGACGAGGCACUACGGUGCUGAAGCAACAAAUGCCCUGCUUCCAGGAAAAGCCUCUAAGCAUCAGGUAACAUCAAAUCGUACCCCAAACCGACACAGGUGGUCAGGUAGAGAAUACCAAGGCGCUUGAGAGAACUCGGGUGAAGGAACUAGGCAAAAUGGUGCCGUAACUUCGGGAGAAGGCACGCUGACACGUAGGUGAAGUGAUUUACUCAUGGAGCUGAAGUCAGUCGAAGAUACCAGCUGGCUGCAACUGUUUAUUAAAAACACAGCACUGUGCAAACACGAAAGUGGACGUAUACGGUGUGACGCCUGCCCGGUGCCGGAAGGUUAAUUGAUGGGGUCAGCGCAAGCGAAGCUCCUGAUCGAAGCCCCGGUAAACGGCGGCCGUAACUAUAACGGUCCUAAGGUAGCGAAAUUCCUUGUCGGGUAAGUUCCGACCUGCACGAAUGGCGUAAUGAUGGCCAGGCUGUCUCCACCCGAGACUCAGUGAAAUUGAACUCGCUGUGAAGAUGCAGUGUACCCGCGGCAAGACGGAAAGACCCCGUGAACCUUUACUAUAGCUUGACACUGAACAUUGAGCCUUGAUGUGUAGGAUAGGUGGGAGGC
RNAcentral lists this ribosomal RNA (1624 nucleotides) under Salmonella enterica subsp. enterica serovar Livingstone. RNAcentral's name for it is "partial 23S ribosomal RNA". It matches the Rfam family "Bacterial large subunit ribosomal RNA", at positions 548 to 2155 of the family's 2925-position model. The record is from RNAcentral. Lineage: Bacteria; Pseudomonadati; Pseudomonadota; Gammaproteobacteria; Enterobacterales; Enterobacteriaceae.